This 494-nucleotide ribosomal RNA is filed under the name uncultured bacterium. RNAcentral describes it as "partial 16S ribosomal RNA". It matches the Rfam family "Bacterial small subunit ribosomal RNA", at positions 28 to 507 of the family's 1533-position model. The record is from RNAcentral.
GACGAACGCUGGCGGCGUGCUUAACACAUGCAAGUCGAACGGUGAAGCGCCUUCCUUUUUGGUGGGUGUGGAUGAGUGGCGAACGGGUGAGUAACACGUGAGUAACCUGCCCCCUUCUUCUGGAUAACCGCAUGAAAGUGUGGCUAAUACGGGAUAUUCUGGGUCUGUCGCAUGAUGGGUCUGGGAAAGAUUUUGUUUCGGUGGGGGAUGGGCUCGCGGCCUAUCAGCUUGUUGGUGAGGUGAUGGCCUACCAAGGCGGUGACGGGUAGCCGGCCUGAGAGGGUGGACCGCCACACAGGGACGGAGACACGGCCCAGACUCCUAGGGGAGGCAGCAGGGAAGAAUAUUGCACAGUGGGCGGAAGCCUGAUGCAGCGACGCCGCGGGGAGGAUGGAGUCCUUCGGGUUAAGAACCUCUUUCGGCAGUGAAGCAAGCCUGCCUCGUUUGUGGGUGGGUUGACGGUAGCUGGAGAAGAAGCGCCGGCUAACUACGUG